AUGAACAUGGGGUUCCCUACUCAGCUCCUGGUAUUCCUGCUGCUCUGGUUCCCAGGUGGCAGAUGUAAUAUCCAAAUGACACAAACUCCAUCAUCCCUGUCCGUAUCUUUGGGAGACAGAGUCAGCCUCUCUUGCAAGGCUAGUGAGAACAUUUAUACUACAUUAUCAUGGUACCUGCAGAAACCGGGGAAAGCUCCUAAGCUCCUGAUCUAUUAUGCAAACAGCUUGGAAGAUGGAGUCCCAUCGAGGUUCAGUGGCAGUGGGUCUGGGACACAGUUUUCUCUCAAAAUUAGCAGCCUGGAGGCUGAGGAUGCUGGCAUUUAUUUCUGCCAGCAAGGUUAUAAUCCUCCUUCCACAGUGAUACAUGCCAUGUCAUAA
Non-coding RNA from Cricetulus griseus (Chinese hamster), 378 nucleotides. Lineage: Eukaryota; Metazoa; Chordata; Mammalia; Rodentia; Cricetidae. The record is from the annotation of a RefSeq genome assembly.